RNAcentral lists this long non-coding RNA (266 nucleotides) under Lathyrus oleraceus (garden pea). Its description in RNAcentral is "Pisum sativum (pea) long non-coding RNA (PSAT_LNC033022)". Lineage: Eukaryota; Viridiplantae; Streptophyta; Magnoliopsida; Fabales; Fabaceae. The record is from RNAcentral.
CUAAACCUUGGAAACAAGUGUAUUAAACCAGAUUUUAAUUCAAAAGGAACCGAAACAUCAUAAUAUUCAAUACAAAAGUCAUUAUAAUUAACAUCAGGAGCAGCAAACUGCCUUAAUGUUCUUUGAUCAUCCAUGUAAUAAAAAAAAAACACAGAAAUACCAACUAUGUCCGAAAUAGACAAAAACAAAUACAAAGAAGAAAAACGAUUAAAAUAAAUUCAGAAAAAUAUAAAAACACCAAACUUAAUCUAAUGACGUGAAAUAAA